Molecule: ribosomal RNA, 497 nt
Filed under: uncultured bacterium
Lineage: Bacteria
Description: partial 16S ribosomal RNA
Rfam family: Bacterial small subunit ribosomal RNA
Source: RNAcentral
GACGAACGCUGGCGGCGUGCCUAAUACAUGCAAGUUGAGCGCUGAAGGUUGGUACUUGUACCAACUGGAUGAGCAGCGAACGGGUGAGUAACGCGUGGGGAAUCUGCCUUUGAGCGGGGGACAACAUUUGGAAACGAAUGCUAAUACCGCAUAAAAACUUUAAACACAAGUUUUAAGUUUGAAAGAUGCAAUUGCAUCACUCAAAGAUGAUCCCGCGUUGUAUUAGCUAGUUGGUGAGGUAAAGGCUCACCAAGGCGAUGAUACAUAGCCGACCUGAGAGGGUGAUCGGCCACAUUGGGACUGAGACACGGCCCAAACUCCUACGAGAGGCAGCAGUAGGGAAUCUUCGGCAAUGGACGAAAGUCUGACCGAGCAACGCCGCGUGAGUGAAGAAGGGUUUCGGAUCGUAAAACUCUGUUGGUAGAGAAGAACGUUGGUGAGAGUGGAAAGCUCAUCAAGUGACGGUAACUACCCAGAAAGGGACGGCUAACUACGUG